AACGAACGCUGGCGGCAGGCCUAACACAUGCGAGUCGAGCGCCCUUUCGGGGGAGCGGCGGACGGGUGAGUAACGCGUGGGAAUAUGCCCUUCUCUACGGAAUAGCCUCGGGAAACUGAGAGUAAUACCGUAUACGCCCUUUGGGGGAAAGAUUUAUCGGGGAAGGAUUAGCCCGCGUUGGAUUAGGUAGUUGGUGGGGUAAUGGCCUACCAAGCCGACGAUCCAUAGCUGGUUUGAGAGGAUGAUCAGCCACACUGGGACUGAGACACGGCCCAGACUCCUACGGGAGGCAGCAGUGGGGAAUCUUAGACAAUGGGGGCAACCCUGAUCUAGCCAUGCCGCGUGAGUGAUGAAGGCCUUAGGGUUGUAAAGCUCUUUCAGCUGGGAAGAUAAUGACGGUACCAGCAGAAGAAGCCCCGGCUAACUCCGUG
This 431-nucleotide ribosomal RNA is filed under the name uncultured bacterium. RNAcentral's name for it is "partial 16S ribosomal RNA". It matches the Rfam family "Bacterial small subunit ribosomal RNA", at positions 29 to 507 of the family's 1533-position model. The record is from RNAcentral.